GUCGUAACAAGGUUUCCGUAGGUGAACCUGCGGAAGGAUCAUUCGCACAUAAAUCCAACCACAUUCCUGUGAAUUCUUUGGUGAGGGUCUGCGCGAGAGGUUCACGCCUCAGUGCAAACGCUCAAGGGUGGUGGGGCGAGCUUCGGAACGUCCUCCGACUCGUUCUCACUGCCAGCUCUCGCUGCAAAGCACAUCUUUGAUGUCAUUUUUUCACUUUCAUGUCGAUGGCUCUCUCGGGCCACGUCUACUCAUUCACAACUUUCAGCGAUGGAUGUCUCGGUUCGAUCAACGAUGAAGGGCGCAGCGAAGUGCGAUAAGCAUUGUGAAUUGCAGAAUUCCGUGAACCGACAGGGACUUGAACGCAUAUUGUGCUUUUGGGAUAUCCCUGAAAGCAUGCCUGCUUCAGUGUCUACGCUUUAUUGUUCCAGCAGCUGUAGCUCCUUACGGGGCAUGCUGCUCGUGAUCUCCUGCACCUCAGGACGUGCUCUCGGCGCUCUUGAGGUGUUCGAUGGACAAGGCCCUGCUUCGACAGCCAGCUUACUGAGCGCACUUCGGUGUCAUUUGGUUGCUGCGCGAUGUUGGGGCUUGAGGCUUUGCUUUCCUUUUUCCUGUGCCUCGCCCUCUGGGUGUGGCACAGCUUUCAAGACAUGAAGUCAGGUUGGCAAACCCGCUGAAUUUAAGCAUAUAAGUAAGCGGAGGACAAGAAACUAAAUAGGAUUCCCUUAGUAAUGGCGAAUGAACAGGGAUGAGCUCAACUUGAUAAUUGUGGCUUCUGGCUUUGAAUUGUAAUCUCAAGAUGUAGUGCUAAGGAGGGCGUAGGUGUAAGCCUCUUGGAAAAGAGAAUCAUUGAGGGUGAGAAUCCUGUUUGUCACCUGCAGUCCCUCCUGUACGGCCUACCUUCUAAGAGUCACGUUCCUCGGGAUUGGAGCGCAAACUGGGUGGUAAAUUUCAUCUCAAGCUAAAUAUGGGUUCGAAACCGAUAGCAAACAAGUACCAUGAGGGAAAGAUGAAAAGGACUUUGAAAAGAGAGUUAAAAGUGCCUGAACUUGCUGAAAGGAAAGCGGAUGGAACCAGUCUUGCUUGGCGAGAUUGUUGCGUGCUAUGGUGAUGGCCUGCUGCAUCAGCGCAAGCGUUGCUGUGGGUUUGAUCUUGUUGCGCGCGAUGCUUCUUGCCUUGUGUGUCAUCGUCGGUUCGAUGGUGAGGACAACCCUUGGGACUUGGUAGCCUACCUCCGGGUGGGUGAAUGUGCCUUGUGGAACUCACCUUUGAACUGCAAACCGAAUGUGCGAUUGCGUUGCCACGAGCUUUCGCGGGCUUUCUCACGAUUGCUCUGCUUUUGCUCUGCACCUUUUGCACACAGCUAUGGUGACUAAAUGGUUCUAUUCGACCCGUCUUGAAACACGGACCAAGGAGUCUAACAUAUGUGCGAGUUCUUGGGUGUCGAAACCUACGUGCGCAAUGAAAGUGAGUACUGAGAUCUUUGCAUCAGCAGCCGACCGAUCGAUUGGGAGAGGUUUGAGCAUGAGCAUAUCUGUUAGGACCCGAAAGAUGGUGAACUAUGCGUGA
RNAcentral lists this ribosomal RNA (1566 nucleotides) under Gyrodiniellum shiwhaense. RNAcentral's name for it is "eukaryotic LSU rRNA". The stretch from base 644 to 1566 matches the Rfam family "Eukaryotic large subunit ribosomal RNA", at positions 1 to 840 of the family's 3401-position model. The record is from RNAcentral. Lineage: Eukaryota; Dinophyceae; Gymnodiniales; Gymnodiniaceae.